Marmota monax (woodchuck) is the source of this 1772-nucleotide long non-coding RNA. RefSeq lists it as uncharacterized. The record is from RefSeq and is a predicted model, not a curated record. NCBI's taxonomy places the organism in Eukaryota, Metazoa, Chordata, Mammalia, Rodentia, Sciuridae. The transcript is spliced from 2 exons.
UUUCACCAGUCCAAUCUCAGCAUUCACUCUUUGAAGGUUCCAGUUGUCAUGGGUCUUGGCUUUUCCUGGAUGGAAGGGCACCCUGCCAGAGUUAGCUGUGAGGUUUCAAGCUCAAGCUUCCCAUAACCCACUAAGCAGCCCUGCAUGCUCCUCCAUGCUCAGCUAUUAUGAACUGUCCCACCUCCUCACUGGUGGAGUUCUGGGCUUGUUUCUGAACUGGGCAAAAUAUCAGUGAGUGUGGACCUGGAGGAGUGAGGUUGGAGGGAGCCUCACCUGGAACUGUUGUCCCAAAUGGGUGCUCCUUGGGCCCCUUCCAUUGUCCAUGGCCUUUUCUGGGUCCACUGGACCUGCAGUAAUCAGUGAAGGCCGCUGGGUGAGGUUGUGGCAGUGGUCAUCUCUCCUGGUGGGAUAAUUCCUGGCAUUGCAUCCUUCGGAACCCAGUUCAAGGUGCUGCCCAGUAGGCUGCAUUGGGAAUCAGGGUCCUGGAAGUAAUGAAUCACCAGAUGGGCCAGUGAAGCACAGACUUGCAGUGGGUGACAAAGUUGGAGUUGGGUUGCCAAGAACAUGGUCCUGGGGCUCAGUGUAUAGGUCCUUCCUCAUGCCACACAGCUGAAUUGGCACUUAUCUUGAACUUUCCUCUGGAGUGGCCAGAACCAGAAGCUCCUUCACUUCCCAAGUGUCAUGAAAUCAUAUGGCUUUUGAGAAAAUGGCUUUAAUAUGGGUUUAUGUCCCCCACCAUAGGCCUCCCCACAGGCUUACAUGCUGGGAAAUUCUCAGUUUCUUCUUUCAGUCACCAUUUCCUGCUGCAUAGGGAGCAAAAAUGGACACCCUCCUAGAUCAUGCCUGCCUCUGGAGUCAGGGUAGUGACUAUAUUGAUGGACAGGGUGACCAAAUGUGGGCCACACCUGAGUGGUCCUGGAGUAUGAGGUUGGCCAACCUCUUUAUUUUCUACUAACAAAGAGGUCUAUAAAAACAUGAAUGACAGGUGAUGUCACUGAACAACAAAGAUGGGAGAGGACAGCUUGAAGAGCCUGGAGAGGAGCCAGGCAAUCAGAGAAAAAAUAACACUAAGAGUGGAGGAGGCCAACCUCUGUCUAGAGGGCUCUGGGAAGAGCCAGCCUGAUUUCCUUCUGGGACCUGCUCAGCAUGGAUUGUGGGUAAGAUUUGGGUAAGAUAAGGUCAGCCAUGAACUGUGUAGAAGUAGAAUGCAUUGGGGGUGCUGAUGGAACUAGAUUUGUAUUUCUGCUUUACAAAAUAUCUCUGAAUAAUUAGGUGGAAUUCCCUGAGAUUCCGUUUUCUCAUCCAGCAAAUGGGCCUAGUAAAUGAACCUUCUCAACAAUGAUAAGGUGAAGAUGUCAUGAGGUUAUAUUUGCAAAGCAGUUACAAACUAUGGAACCAAACUAGGUACUGUUCAAGAGAUGAAUUAAUAAAGAUAAUGUAAUACAUAUACAUAAUGGAAUAUUACUCAUCCUUGAAGAAUGAAAUUAUGGCAUUUAUCAGUAAAUGAAUGAAGCUAGAGAAUAUUUUGCUAAGUGAAAUAAGCCAAUCCCAAAGAACAAAAGGCCAAAUGUUUUUCUCUGAUAUGUGGAGGCUAAUGCACAAUAAGGAAGUGGAGCUAGGAAAAAAUAGAGAUACUUUGGAUUAGACAAAGGGGAGUGAAAGGGGAGAGGGGUAUGAAGGGAGGAAGAAGAGCAGAAUGAAUUGCAAAUUAUUACUCUAUGUGCAUAUAUUGUAAAGGUGACAUUGCAAUAAAUUACUGAGUUGAUUUUAAA